RNAcentral lists this small RNA (218 nucleotides) under Xanthomonas campestris pv. campestris. RNAcentral describes it as "ncRNA of unknown function". The record is from RNAcentral. Lineage: Bacteria; Pseudomonadati; Pseudomonadota; Gammaproteobacteria; Lysobacterales; Lysobacteraceae.
AAUCAAGUUAGUAGCGGACCGAUUCCCCCAUGGAUGCCCCCAACGUUUUGGGGCUCGAUUGGGUGCGGAUGGACAGCAGUGGACAGAUGAGCCAUAGAUGAACAGACGAAGACCACUGAUAUGGAAUGUAGGCCAGCGCCACCGAUGCGGUAGGGAUGGACAGAAGCCCUAAUGACUGAUGCUCCGCGUCGGCUGCGUCCCGACGUCCCCCCGCCCUG